Molecule: long non-coding RNA, 5277 nt
Organism: Dromaius novaehollandiae (emu)
Lineage: Eukaryota; Metazoa; Chordata; Aves; Casuariiformes; Dromaiidae
Exons: 7
Source: RefSeq, a predicted model, not a curated record
GCGAGCUGAAAGAGAGGCAAGCCGUGACGGUUGGCAAGGCAGGGAGCGCGCACGCAUCCGAUGCGGACCGACGUGGGAAAGCCGCCGGCCCCGUCACGUCCUGGCAGCAGGAGCGAGGCUGCCCCACGAGAAGCGGCUGCAGGACAGCUCCCGCGAGCUGGUUACCACCAGCACCAGGGCAUGUGGUAUGGAUGCCCCGCUGGGUCUUUAGGCUUAUUGCCACGAGACAAUCCCCCUCCACCCCACCAGUCAGUACGUCACUAGGCUGGUUUCUCUGUUGAGGAGAAAGUCAAUGAAAAACAAAAAGUCACCUAGAGUUAAAGUCUAGACCUCAAAUGGCAACGCAAGUUGAUGAACAGAAGAAAGCUGCAAAUGGAGCAGACGUUUCAGCACCAAUAGUGACGCGGUCCCUGAGGAAAGCACUCGCUCCUGACACCCCCGCUGUACCAAAGCACUCCUGCAUCCGUGCCAUGAGAUCAAAGGCGUCAGCUUUGACCCGCGUCAGGCAUUCGGCUUGCCCCAAAGGACCUCAACAUAGGAAAGAGCGACUCUGUGGCCCCGUGGCGUUGGUACCCCAGGUCAGGCCCGACGAGGGCCGGCGCAGCGGGGCAGCUCACGGCAGCCCUCUGUGGCAUUCGGAGCGGGCAGGGGCAACCCGAACGGCUGUGCCCAUGCUUGCAAACAAAGCGAAGCUCUUUUGGCACUGGAGAAAGCCCCGCACGUAUCCUUGCCGUGACACAGAGAAGAUCUUUCAUUGCAGCACACGCACGAGCGAGCUCCUGCGGCUCCUGACAGCCACGCUGCCCAGGCUGCACGCUGCCGAGCGCUUACAAAGGCAGUGCAGUUCCUCGGAGGGCUGAAAAUCCCACCCGAGGGCACGCGGUCCUGCCGGCACGUCCUGACCGUGCCCACAGAGCGGGCUGCGGUGUGCCCACGUCUGCUCCUCUCCGCCAAGGAAGCGGGUUCGCUACGAGUCUCCGUGCAGAGGGGAACCCACGCUCGGUACGGCCAGGCUGGCCUACGCCUGCUGCUGCGUGCCGGCCAGUAUCGCCCUGAUCCGAUGGGGAGGGUCCAUCCCCGCUCACCCUGCGAAUUCCCCGUCGGGGUACCCCGCCAGCAAAUGCUGGUGCAUGUCGCUCAGUGCAAUCAUUUAUUUUUGUUAUCCUUGGGGGGAGAUGGUGAGAUAACCCCUCUGGAUGAAUCCCAAAAUAAAGACAAACACAAGCAAUACCAAAUAUCUAUCAGGUGAUGAGAGCAUGCAGAGGAACGUAAGCAAAAAAUGCAGUUCAGUGACACAGUAGCCAUGUGCACCCAGCCCUGCUGGGUAAACUGACCCAAAGCCCGGCUUUGCCCAGGGCACGACACCAGGGGCUGGGAGCCUCACCCUGGGCCGUGCCUUUUCCAGCACGCGGCUGCUCCCAGAGACCCGCCGCUGUUUAUUUAGCGCUGGUAUUACAGGAGCCUUGUCAACGCCUAGUCGUGAACUGCUCCUAUCUGUUUGCUCAGCCUCUCUGUCCCCAGCCUGGGUCGAGCCUUUAGGUGCCGUCUGCCGAGGCGGGAGCGCUCGGAGGGCUGACGCCAAUGCUGCGGGCGCUGCGCCAGCCGUGCCGGAGCUGCAGGAGCCGUUUAUCUCCAUAAACGGGGGCACAGCGCAAACCAGGUGAGGCAUGGGGCUCAAGAUAAAGCCGACAUCAGCAGUGAGAUCUAGAUCUGACUUGUCCACUCCUGGAGGGGUCUGGAAAACAAAUUUGCGGAGCAAGCCUGCAAAGAAGAGGAACAGCUCCAUUUUGGCCAGUCCUUCUCCAAUGCAAGCCCUUCGUCCUGAAAAUAACCAGAAGAGAAGUAAAUGAUCAGCACCAUAAUAGUGCUAAAAGAGUCUCAGACUACGCAGAAGCCUGUGGGUAUGUGAGAUCAUUCAGUGCCUGUGAGUAAAUCGGUGUUUCCCGCAUUUCAGCCCGGAUCUCCCAAGCAAGAGAUGGUAACUAGCAGCAUGGUGAACUGGAUGAAUGACCAGAAUUCCCUUAUCCUAUGUUCUGUGCUUCUGACUUUCAUAAUUUCCAACAUCCAAAACUACUUCUGGAUUCAGUGGGAGCUGUGCAAUUAGCCUAACCGCAGGUGGUGCACAAAAUACCCCUCUCACCUAUGGAAAAUGGAAUAAAUGCCUCUCUCCUAAUAAAGUUCCCGUCAGCAUCCAGGAAGUGAGAAGGGUUGAACUCAUCAGGGGUUUUCCAGUGCAACUCAUCAUUCAGAGCGGAGGUCAGCAACGGAAUAACCUCUGUCCCCUGAAAGGAAUCAAACAAAUUCAUGGUAGUUGGUAGGAGCAGAUCACUUUCACAGUCCAGCUAGGCUGUUGUUUUUUUUUUUUUCCAAUGUGCAUGGGUGAAUAAGACUGAGCCAUGGCAAACAGACCUAGUGAAUGCUUUCCUGCUCUGCUUUGCCUUUUAUCAGUAGUUGCUGAUCCCUUUUUGCGCCACAAAACAGAACGUGUUUCCUUCUUACAUAUUCGGAGACACCUUUCAAGCAAGAAGCUGAAGUAGAGGUUCCACAUUUGGCAAAAGAGAUUCAAAAUAGUGUGAUUUAAUUAAAGUCUGUGGUUAUUCUGGAUUCAAAAAGCUCUAACUAAGAGCUCAAUCCAGCCCAUAGUUGUAACAGCCAUCCUGGAUCUGAGACAAAAGAUUACAUCAUUGAUUAAACCAAACAUCAGGGCAUCUUUAGGUUUUUUCAUUUUCCUUGUCUGCUUUAAAAGAAAUUGUAAGGAAUCUGUGCAGUGUAAGCUGACAACCUCAAAACUCACCUUAGGAAUCACAUAACCUUGGAAAUUCACAUCAGUAGGAGUUGAUCUUGAUACACUCAUUGGGACUAUAUUGGCAAAUCUUUGUAUUUCAUGUAUCACUGCAUCUGUAUAGGGCAUUUUUUUCCGGUCCUCCAACUUAGGCAGUUGUCCUGGUUCAAUGACUUGGUUCAUUUCUUCCUGAAUCUUUCCUUUGGAGGAAGAAAAGAUAAACAAGCUGUAACCCCCUCUUAUCUUGCAACCUAAAUGGCUGUUGGUUUAGCCAAGAUCAAUAAAAGGGAAAACUUUGAGGAGUAUUCGGGAAGAGCAAAAAUAGGGGCAGGUAAGUCAAUGUGUCAGGUAGUUCUUUCAAGUUUGUUGUUGAGCCAAGGGAGCAUGAAUGGAGCUGCUACAGGACAUGCCAUGCCUGAUUCUGAUCUCAUGCCUCUGUUACCGCACAGCCUUCAAAAGAAACCAGAUCAAAAUCAGUCCUUGAGGAGACGGGAGACCGAUGAAGGAAGGUUUGGGAUGAUAUCCCCCUUACACGUGCUGAUCAUAUUUCACCCAUAUGGGACGUCUUGACAACUAGAUCCCUUUAAUCAGCAGUUUCAGUGAAACCACGGAGAGAGUUCAGCACUGCUCACAAAUGAUUUAAAAGGGCAUCCUUGAUGGUUUCAUAUCCAGCCAGUACCACAGCUUUCCUGGGUCCAAAAUGCACAGUGAAGAUGUUGCCAUAUAUCUUGGAGAGCUUCAAAGAUCACAGGGUGUGUGGCAGAUCCAGGGGUAGUUAAACACAGCUGUUUCCCGGUCUUCCUUUGGUCAUUUAUUUGCAUUAGUACAUCUUGGCAUCAGCCCUGGCUUUUCUCAGCAACAUGAAUAUUGGAUGUGGCAGGCCUGAAAGCCUCAAGGAAGCUGCUUGGCAGCUUAUAGGAAAUGAGUCUGGUACCUGCAAAUGACAUUUGUAUCAUAAAAUCCCCCACUACAGCCAAAAAUAGUUGCCCCUUUCUUCAGCCCCUCCACAAACACCCCUAUGGUCAGACGGGAAGUCAGGACUAGAAGACCAUCAAAACUGCGCUCUGCACAAGCCUGGUGGCCCUGUAAGUCCAGGCAGAUGGACAUUGUGUGACUGCUGUAGGAAAUCUGAACUUUUGCAGCCCAGGAUGCACCUCUUCUAUGACUAACUGGAGAAUUUCAGUGUCUGCACUGCCAUCUCGCUGUGGGUGUUGAGGCGAGCUGAGGGAGUUCACUGCGGGCUGGACUUCCCCCGUUGUAGCGCCUGGCAAGCACACGCUCGGGGAAUGUGGCAGACCAGCCACAGCCCCUCCAGCGUCUCUACAGCAACCUGAAGAAAUCUGAAUUCAUGCUGAAUUGCCCUCACCUCCCUACAGGAACAUAGCAGCCACUUUCUGAAACAAACAUUGCAGCUGGCUUUAAAAUAUUUAAGUAUUUCUUUUUCCCCUUUAGAAAUAAAAGCAUCCGUGGAGCUGCAUAAGAAACUGCAUUUGUUUACCUAGAGGUACAAAAGCCAUGCACCAAGUCUUGAAUAACCCUGGACUGUGUGUGCAAGAAGAGAGGGGGGAGGCAGAGUUGAGCUUUGCAUUGCAACGAAGUAAGUGGCUUUGGAAAUAAAUGUACGUAUGACCCAGUUUCCUCUGCCAUGGGAAUGAUACCUUUCUUUCCUGCCUACCUUCCCCCUUCCUGUGGGAGAUGUCUGUCUGUAGUGACAGAGCUGCUGACAGCAGAUGCCCCCACCCUUCAGCAGACUGGCCCCGCUUGUGCCUUCUACUUGCAGAGUCUGAAGGCCAUAACUAGGGCUUGAGGUACCAACACUGUGGACCUGUCUGCAAGGGGUGGAGGCCCCUGCUUGCAUGUGUGUAAAGGAAGGGGUACAUAUACACAUACAUAUGUAGGUAGGGUGUCAGUCUGCCAGCCUGCCUGUACUCUAAAUAGCUCAUUUCUGCCUUCCACACAAUGCAAACACAAUCGCAUCUCCAUCACCCUAGUUGCAUUUCUCACACCAGGCAUUGCAUGCAGCCAGUUUUCUUCCUGCCUGCUCACUCAAGACCCUACCUCUGUCAGUGACUGGAACGGCUUUUUCAGGUCCACCACGUUCAAGUUUCCGAUCAGAGGAAGAGGUCGUGGCCCAGGAGGCAAACUGCAAACUGAUUUCUUCAAGCUGGAUGAGACCGGCGGCUCUGCGGCGCAUGUCGCCAGCACACCACCACCGAUAUUGUGUCCCCCCAAAAGGUAUUUUCCUAAGUGGGGCCACUGUCCUGAGCAGUGACGGGUGCAAAACUUCUUCUUAAAGCUGGUGGGAAACGAGGAGCCCCGGUGUCAUCUGGGUCCCCUGACUGAUGUGGCGGCUUGGGAAGAAACAGAGAAUUUGGAUGAUGCAGGUUCCUGUAUAAAUUGGUUUGCUGACACUGGUGUCUGAUUUUUGCUGUUUUUCCCUUCAUAAAGUCAUCUGAACAAAUAAAUUUUAGCAGUCAGCUAUGCGAGCAAAAAUC